RNA transcript from Phyllopteryx taeniolatus (common seadragon), 5366 nucleotides. It is a transcript of the gene named coactivator-associated arginine methyltransferase 1, with no coding region annotated. Lineage: Eukaryota; Metazoa; Chordata; Actinopteri; Syngnathiformes; Syngnathidae. The transcript is spliced from 18 exons. The record is from RefSeq and is a predicted model, not a curated record.
GCGAAGAAUGCGCCACCGAUCUGUCUGCACUUCCAGAUUGAAAAUGGCGGUCUCAGUGUUUCCCGGCGUACGGCUCCUGUCCAUCGGAGACGCAAAUGGAGAUAUACAACGACACUCAGAACAGCAACCUCUGCGAUUGGAAGUCAGAACUACGCAGGACGCCGCAUUACUGAACCUUUCUAAUGGAGAGGAUGCAAGUGUCUUCAAGUGUUCGGUUUCUAGGGAGACGGAAUGCAGCAGAGUGGGGAAGCAGUCAUUCAUUAUCACUCUGGGCUGCAACAGCGUCCUAAUUCAGUUCUCCUCACCUGCAGACUUUCAGUCCUUUUAUAACGUCUUGAAGAACUGUCGGGGGCAUCUUUGUGAGCAGUCAGUUUUCAGUGACAGAACAGAGGAAUCAUCUGCCGUACAGUACUUUCAGUUUUAUGGCUACCUCUCACAACAACAAAAUAUGAUGCAGGACUACGUGCGUACAGGGACCUACCAACGGGCUAUUUUGCAGAACCACGUCGACUUCAAAGACAAGAUUGUGCUAGAUGUUGGAUGUGGCUCUGGGAUCCUGUCUUUUUUUGCGGCCCAGGCAGGAGCAAAGAAGGUCUAUGCUGUGGAAGCAAGCACAAUGGCUCAGCAUGCUGAGGUGCUGGUUAACAGUAACCGUCUGGGAGAGCAUGUGAUCGUUGUCCCAGGAAAGGUGGAGGAGGUGACGCUCCCUGAACAAGUGGACAUUAUCAUAUCAGAGCCUAUGGGCUACAUGCUUUUCAAUGAGCGGAUGCUGGAGAGCUACUUGCAUGCCAAGAAGUUCCUUAAACCCAACGGUAAAAUGUUCCCUACCAUUGGGGAUGUUCACCUUGCCCCUUUCACAGAUGAGCAGCUGUACAUGGAACAGUUCACAAAAGCCAAUUUCUGGUACCAGCCCUCCUUCCAUGGUGUAGACCUCUCUGCGUUGCGGGGUGCAGCAGUGGAUGAGUAUUUCCGCCAGCCAAUUGUGGACACAUUUGAUAUCCGUAUACUGAUGGCAAAGUCAGUCAAAUACACAGUCAACUUUCUGGAGGCCAAAGAAGAGGAUCUUUACAGGAUAGAGAUCCCCUUUAAGUUCCACAUGAUGCACUCAGGCCUUGUCCAUGGUCUGGCUUUCUGGUUUGACGUGGCAUUUAUGGGAUCAGUUAUGACAGUAUGGCUGUCCACUGCACCUACAGAACCUCUUACUCACUGGUAUCAAGUACGCUGCUUGCUACAGUCUCCUCUCUUCACAAAGGCUGGGGAUACGCUGUCUGGCACUGCACUACUAGUGGCCAACAAGAGACAAAGUUACGACAUCAGUAUUGCUGCCCAGGUGGACCAGACUGGAUCAAAGUCCAGCAACCUCUUGGAUUUAAAGAACCCCUUUUUCAGGUACACGGGUACCACCCCAAAUCCGCCUCCUGGGUCACAUUACACCUCCCCCUCGGAGAAUAUUUGGAACACAGGUGUAGCCUACAGCAUGGGUCAAGGGAUGCCCGUAUCAGGAAUGCCUGCAGCUUAUGACCUUAGUACAGUCAUUGGCAGUGGCCCAUCAGUCUCUCACAACAACCUUAUCCCUCUAGUCAUAACGGCCCUCCGAGGGAAGCCAUAACUACAAUGUGGCCCGUGACAAAAAUGAGUUUGACACCCCUGCCUUAGAUGACGCAAGGAAUAAAGGAUGACGCUCCGAGCCAAAGCGAUCGUGCAAAAUGCCAGCCCGUACAUAUGGUGAGAUGCUCUCGGCCACUUGCUGGCUGAUCGUCUGCCAACCAGGAUUUGAAUAAAUGGGAUCUGGAAUCGUCAGAUAGUGAACUCACUUUUGGAUAGCCAGGCGAGCUUCCUCGGAUGAAGAUCAACGAAGGCGAAGACAAAGGAAUUCAACACCCGCGAGUCAAGCGUCUUUUGGGAUUGCGAAGAAGAAAAGUAAUCGGGUUUUUUCACCCUUGCAAAACACAUCAAUAAAAAGUAUACUCGUCGCAUCCACCAGACGUUCGACUCCCAUACCAGUACGCAGUGCAGACAAAAAAGGUUCUGCUUCGAGCAGAAGGUUUCAAGGAGAAUGACAACCACACAAGGUCCGAUUCACUGCCAACAGAAGAAUAAAAUAAGAUGUGGAUAAAACUUUGCUAGAUUUUAUGCUUUAAGUAAAAAAAACCUGGACUAUUGAGCAAAGGAGAGGAGGAGAAUUUGAAGGAAAAAAGUGUGGGAGGCCCAUUUGUUCAUGCAUUUUUGUCUAAUGUAAAUUCUGUACAUAGUUAUACUUAUAAAUAAAUAUUUUUUCUGUCAAAAGUACUUUCUGUGUUGUUUUAUGUUCAGAUGUUUGAGAUUUUCACUAAAGAAAAAAAAUAUUGGUGUCAAAGUCAUUGUUCUGCUUAAUGUGUCUGCUUUCACAAAAAGGCUGUUUUCUCCGUUUUUUUUUUCUUCCAGAAUCAGAUUUGGCUGAAAGUAGCCUAUAUUUGACUGCUGAUUACUAAAAAACAUUAUAAGCUAGAGACAAACUUUUUUCUGAUGAAAGAAGGGAGUCUGAUCUUUCAUUUGGUGGUUUUGGUGUUUACAUCGUCAUAGUACAUAAUAUUCUGUGGGGCUUGGAAAAUCAGUGAAAUUGCUCGAAAAUGCCUGUCAGUCUAGGGGUUCCCUGCUCAGGAAACGGCUGGCAGUAAAUGAGUUAAAGAAGAAGUUACAGGUCUGUGAGAGCCAGAAAUCUUGCUUGUUUGUAGGUGACCAAAUACUUAUUUUACCGAGGAAUUUACCAAUUCAUUAAAAAUCAGAAGUGAUUUUCAGGAUUUUUUUUAUUUUUUUAUUUUUUCUUAUUUUGUCUCUCAUAGGUAAGGUUAUACAUAUGAUGAAAAUUACAGGCCUGUCUCAUCUUUUUCAGUGAGAGAACUUGCACAAUUGGUGGCUGGCUAAAUACUUUUUUGCCCCACUGUAUAUCACCAGUUAACUUGCUGUACAGGUAGUUUUUCACAGAAAGCUUUUGUCCCUAUUUGUAUCUAAAUCUAACAGUCAACCACACUUCCAGACAAUUUGACAUUUUUCUCAAUGUUUUCAAAAUCCUUAAUUUAAAUUUUUUUUUUUGUUCUUCCUCAAACAAAACCCAGGUGACAUGCACUGGUCAUUCUUUUUUGCUCUUUCCACUUCCCAUUUCCAGUAUUCGUUAGAAGCGCUUCUCUUUUUUACAAUAUUCAAACGUCUUCGAAAUUGUCGGGGACUCGAACCCCUCAUUGACGGGGACUCAAACCCCUCGUAAUUUUGACGGGGACUCAAACUUGGACUUUAACCUGGACUUUAUAAUCUGGACUUUAAGGACUCAAACUUUACCAAUGGAAUGUGGGGGGAGCAAUUACAAAUACCACUUAAUACAAAGACAAGAUUUUUUCAAAUACAGUACACCGUAUGAAAUGAUCCAAUUUUCAAGGAAUUACAAUUUUCUUUACCGUAAUUCUUUGUCUGGAGGACAACAGGUCCGUUUGGAUCCUGAGGUGACAACUCAAGAUUCAAAUUAACCUUGCUGGUUGCAUUCAUUAACCGAAGAGCAUUGACGUCCGUAUUAUUGGGAAACUUUUAUUUUGAAGGUGGCUUUCGCCGCGAGUUGGCGACAUAUUACCGUAAUGCCUAGUGUGAACAAAAUUAGGGGCGGCUGGCUUGAUUGCUACUUUACGAGUGGAGGCUGGCUUGACCGGCGCUAUAUACCUACUGGGGGCGUGCCUUUAGCGUCCUCCUUCACGUGUACCCUUCCCCCUUUACGUCAGCAUGCUGUCCUCAGCCACCCAGCAUCUGUAUAAGCAGCGUGUCGGCAUGAAAUGCUCCCGGUCAGUCAAGCGGAGCGCUCAUCACACAACAACAUUUAUAGAUUUUGGAAUCUAUAAUCUAUACACACAAAGCGCGCUGCAUUAUGAGGCGCCCCGUCAAUUUUGGAGAAAAUGUACGACUUUUAAGAGCGCCUUAUGGUCGUGAAAAUACAGUGAUAGAACUAACAUUUGGUAUGUAUGAAACAUACAUUUUCCGAAUCAACACACUCAUAAUAUCAACAGUAACAAACGCAACUCGAGGAUUAUCUUGCUUGAUUUUCUACAACUACAGUACUGUACUUAAAAACACCGCAAUGAAUUCUGGGUUCCCCUAAUGCUUUUUGCUGACUAAAUUGCCAGGACAGUCAGUGGGACGAACGAUGCCAAUGCUUAAGGCAGGAAAUCGCUUGUGGGUCCGCAUGGGCUGUUGUUCAGGUCUCUCAAGCGGAGCACACCCGUCUAUAAUAAGCAUGUGCUUGUGUGUGGAUGGUGACCUCAAGUGGGCAAAUAAAGUACCUGCUCCUCUCUAAAGUAGCAUGUAUUGGCAUUGAAUUAUAAAUUACAAAAUAAUUUGUAAAUUUAUAUCAUAUUAUGGUAACGUCACAGAUUUCAUUUACUGCGGUGCUUUUCUGGACAUAACCCCCACAAUAAAUGAGGCUUUAUUGUAUGGCCUAAAAAGCAUAUAGGCCUUGUUUAGUUGGGGCCUAUGUUGAUACUAUUUUCUUGGAAUGGGUGAACCUGUGAAGUUUUCCAGAUUUGUGACCUUGUGAUAUACAGUGCAUGAAAAUAUAUGUACACAGUGCUUCACUUUUCCCGCAUUUUAUGUUACAGCCUUGUUGUAAAAUUUUAUUUAAAGAAAAAAAAUACUAAAAAUUCUACAUACAACAUAAUGACAAUGUGAAAAGCAUUUUAGAUAUUUUAAAUUUGUUUUUUAAUUAAAAAUGAAGAUAUCACAUGUACAGAAAUAUUCAAAGGCAUUGCUCAAUGCUUUGUUGAUGCACCGUUGACAACAAUUACAGCCUCAAAUCUUUUUGAAUGUGAUGCUUAGCACACCUAUAUUUAGGCAGUUUCAAGCUCCGUCAGGUUGAAUAGGCAGCAUCAUAGUCAUUUUUAGACGUCUCCAGAGAUUUUCAAUUAGAUUCAGGUCUGGGCUCUGGUUGGGCCAAUAAAGGAUAUUCCUAGAGCUAUCUUUAAGCCACUCCUUUAAAAUCUUGGGCUGAAAUAUGAAUUGUCGCCACAGUCCGCGGUCAAGAGUGACCUGUAGCAGUGUUUUAUCUAGGAUGUCUCUGUGUAUUGCUGGAUUCAUCUUUCCCUCAACCCUAACUAGUCUCCCUGUUCCUGGCGCUGAAAAACAUCCCCAUGGUAUGAUGCUGCUUUCACGGUGAUGAGCGGUGCCUUGUUACCUCCAAAAAUGACAUCUGACAUUUCAUACCAAAGAGAUACCUGAUCGGUCAAUUGCUGCAGAGAGUGAACACAGGUAUUGUGAACCACACCCACUCCAGGAUGGGCUCCAUCAUGAGCACAGGAAUUGUCCAGGGUAUGUCCAGUUAAUAAUCAACACAGUACAGAAACCCACAUUGG